GUCUCAGGCCGUAUCAGCCUGAAGGCGCCGGAUCUCGUCUGUUCUCGGAAGCUAAGCAGGGUCGGGCCUGGUUAGGAUCUUGGGAUGGGAGACCACCUGGGAAUCCCGGGUGCUCGAGGCU
Molecule: ribosomal RNA, 121 nt
Organism: Bison bison bison
Lineage: Eukaryota; Metazoa; Chordata; Mammalia; Artiodactyla; Bovidae
Source: Ensembl